UACGUAGGCAGCAAGCGUUGUUCGGAAUUACUGGGCGUAAAGAGUGUGUAGGCGGUGUUCUAAGUCUGUUGUGAAAUCUCCCGGCUUAACUGGGAGGGUGCGCCGGAAACUGGAGUGCUCGAGCGUGGGAGAGGAAAGCGGAAUUCCUGGUGUAGCGGUGAAAUGCGUAGAUAUCAGGAGGAACACCUGCGGUGUAGACGGCUUUCUGGACCAUUGCUGACGCUGAGACACGAAAGCGUGGGUAGCAAACAGG
RNAcentral lists this ribosomal RNA (253 nucleotides) under uncultured bacterium. RNAcentral describes it as "partial 16S ribosomal RNA". It matches the Rfam family "Bacterial small subunit ribosomal RNA", at positions 524 to 776 of the family's 1533-position model. The record is from RNAcentral.